Long non-coding RNA from Sinocyclocheilus grahami, 1784 nucleotides. The record is from Ensembl. Lineage: Eukaryota; Metazoa; Chordata; Actinopteri; Cypriniformes; Cyprinidae.
GGUCGUCAGCUGCGAGGUUUUAGAGGCUUAUUUAAUAAAAGUUCCAAGUCCUCAGUGGACACACAUAUUGGAGUUCCACCUCGUAAGCGAUCCAUAACCGACCACCUCCUUCGGAGGACUGCCAGUGCCCCUGCUAAGGGCCGCAAAAAGAUAAAGAUGCCACUGACUGAAGCUACAAGUGACAGAAAGCACAGCACUGGGGACCCUCAAACCACUUGUGUAGAGAGGAGAGCAGGAAACAGAAAAGCCCUCCAACACCGCCCAGCAUCCAUGCCCCUGGAUAAGCUCCUACAUAGUCACCUCAGCCUGUCCACCCCAGAUCGGGAGAGCCCUGAUCCUGGAGCUGACACAGUCAUUGAUUCCUUCCUCAGUGAGAAACCCAGAUCUAUCUCAGUUGAUCUCCUCUUUGAAACUUCUGCCUUCAAAGAACCUGAUGUCCAUGCCCUUUCAGCUGACCACAUUCAAGACUGUAAUAUUGAGCCCAAAGAUACAAAAGAAACUCCUUACCUGGUCAUUGAGGGCAGUAGGGAAAGUUUGGGUAAUCCUAACCAGGAACACUCAAGAGGUGGUCUCACCCAGACCGAAGCUGAUAAAUUAUGUUCUUCCAAAGGGCCAGCAGACCACUUGUCAGGUCCUACAGAUCAAUGUAAUGGUGGCAGUAGCUCACUUAGUGAAGUAAGUCAUAGAGAAUUAAGCCAGUUGGAAGCCCCUAAACAGAACAUUCUAACAGCCAAGGCAGCCACGUAUUCCUUGGCUUCCUCUUCUUCCUUAUCUUCAGGAACCAUCACCAAAUUCUCUCCUAGAAUGACUCUGCCAGACCAGAAGAGUCAAGUGUCCCUCCAGGACAGUGCUCUCUCUCGCCUUAUUGACGCCGUCUCACUAGAGAACGAGUAUGACACCUGUGGGUCCAUAUCUGCUCUGAUUGGCCAAUUUGAGCUCACUGCUGAGCAGAGCUCCCUAAUUCCAUUCAACUCACAACCCAUGAAAAAUUAUAUUCCUCCAUCUGACCUUCCUCAUCUCAACAGUGAGCUUUCCAGCACACCACUAAAAGUUAUCCAAAAAUCUGUGUGCAUAACCUCAGAGCUAACCGAGAGACCUUCUAGUCCUGAAACGACUGAACCUGCAGUCUUUACCAUCUUGGAUGAGGAGGUGCUUUCUCCUGUACCUACAAAGAGCCUUUGUCAAACCAACUUUCACAAUGACUUGGUUGGUUCUCCUGUGGUCAGCAAGAGAUCCUCACCCAACAAGAUGGCUUUAGAAUGGUCUGCACGUGGAAAUCUAAAGCAAAACUAUAGCAGCGAAUGCCAUUCCACUGGUUCCUUUAGAAACUUUGAAUUUGGAGGAUACGGAGAAACCUCAAUCAAUAGCACCCCCUCAGACCGCUUCUUGCUGUGCCAAGACUCUGCAAGCAGCAGUCUGAUGGAGGUGGAGAUCAAUGUAGACGGGGAUUCCUUAGACAACACACCGACCCCUUUGAGUCCCUUUCACGGGUUCAAAAGUGUUCACAGCUUAAACCAGACUUCCCCCUAUCAUGUACAAAGACUUAAACCAACCCAUCUCCACAAACCCUCAUACAAUCCCUCUCCUGUUCACUCAUACUCCACAGACACAUCACUCUUUCACAGACACUACCAAUCUCCACACCAAAGUCUGAACUCUAGCACCUACCUUACUAACAAAUUGCAGCGAAGGAAGUUUAACUGUUAUAAUGACUCUGGGAGAUUUACACUUGGUGACCACAGAAUAGAUGACACAGAGGGAAGACUAGGAAAACCCCCGCAGGU